ACAGGCAAAGAAGUUGAAGCAAAUAAUAUUACGGCUAUAAUAUCUAUUUUGGUGAUAUACUAAGCUUUUCAAGUUAAAUUUCCUGUAAAUAUAAAGAGGAAAUAGUGUAAAGGAGUCGCAGGGAGCCUCAGAUCUGGAAAUUAAUUUGUUUUCUAAUUUUUCCAAAUAGAUA
Molecule: long non-coding RNA, 172 nt
Organism: Zophobas morio
Lineage: Eukaryota; Metazoa; Arthropoda; Insecta; Coleoptera; Tenebrionidae
Exons: 3
Source: RefSeq, a predicted model, not a curated record